CGCCUCUUGACAAAAUAUAAGAGGUCCAGCCUGCCCAGUGAUAACAUUCAACGGCCGCGGUACCCUAACCGUGCAAAGGUAGCACAAUCACUUGUUCCAUAAAUAGGGACUAGUAUGAAUGGCACCACGAAGACUAUACUGUCUCCCCCACUCAAUCAGUGAAACUGAUCUCCCCGUGAAGAAGCGGGGAUCAACAUAUAAGACGAGAAGACCCCAUGGAGCUUCAAACCAAGCAUCACCUGUUAAAUACAUACCACAAAACCCAUCAGACCUGACUGCCUGUUUUUGGUUGGGGUGACCGCGGAGUAAAACACAACCUCCACAAUGAAUAGACCUAACCCCUUAAUUCAAGACCCACAGCUCAACAAAUCAACAUAUUGACAUAAUUGACCCAAACCUAUUGAUCAAUGAACCUAGUUACCCUGGGGAUAACAGCGCAAUCCAUUUAAAGAGCCCCUAUCGACAAAUGGGUUUACGACCUCGAUGUUGGAUCAGGGUAUCCCAGUGGUGCAGCCGCUACUAAAGGUUCGUUUGUUCAACGAUUAAAACCCUA
This 553-nucleotide ribosomal RNA is filed under the name Leptodactylodon boulengeri (Boulenger's egg frog). RNAcentral's name for it is "partial 16S ribosomal RNA". It matches the Rfam family "Bacterial large subunit ribosomal RNA", at positions 1829 to 2598 of the family's 2925-position model. The record is from RNAcentral. Lineage: Eukaryota; Metazoa; Chordata; Amphibia; Anura; Arthroleptidae.